UGCUGGUCCGAUGGUAGUGGGUUAUGAGAAUUUAUUAACAUUAGUGUUACUAAAGCUGGCACACAACCCCCCACUGGUAAAUUUGACUGGCUAAA
This 95-nucleotide Y RNA is filed under the name Prolemur simus (greater bamboo lemur). RNAcentral's name for it is "Y RNA (ENSPSMG00000019110.1)". It matches the Rfam family "Y RNA". Rfam says of the family: Y RNAs are components of the Ro ribonucleoprotein particle (Ro RNP), in association with Ro60 and La proteins. The Y RNAs and Ro60 and La proteins are well conserved, but the function of the Ro RNP is not known. Lineage: Eukaryota; Metazoa; Chordata; Mammalia; Primates; Lemuridae. The record is from Rfam by way of RNAcentral.